AGUGAACGCUGGCGGUAGGCCUAACACAUGCAAGUCGAACGGCAGCACAGUAAGAGCUUGCUCUUACGGGUGGCGAGUGGCGGACGGGUGAGGAAUAUAUCGGAAUCUACUUUUUCGUGGGGGAUAACGUAGGGAAACUUACGCUAAUACCGCAUACGACCUACGGGUGAAAGCAGGGGAUCUUCGGACCUUGCGCGAUUGAAUGAGCCGAUGUCGGAUUAGCUAGUUGGCGGGGUAAAGGCCCACCAAGGCGACGAUCCGUAGCUGGUCUGAGAGGAUGAUCAGCCACACUGGAACUGAGACACGGUCCAGACGCCUACGGGAGGCAGCAGUGGGGAAUAUUGGACAAUGGGCGCAAGCCUGAUCCAGCCAUACCGCGUGGGUGAAGAAGGCGUUCGGGUUGUAAAGCCCUUUUGUUGGGAAAGAAAAGCAGCAGGUUAAUACCCCGCUGUUCUGACGGUACCCAAAGAAUAAGCACCGGCUAACUUCGUG
RNAcentral lists this ribosomal RNA (492 nucleotides) under uncultured bacterium. RNAcentral's name for it is "partial 16S ribosomal RNA". It matches the Rfam family "Bacterial small subunit ribosomal RNA", at positions 29 to 507 of the family's 1533-position model. The record is from RNAcentral.